ACCACGGUGAGUCCUUUCCGUCGACCACUCUGUGUCACCGCCGUAUGGAGCAUCUCAAUUCUAGGAUCUCAAGUCAUCACUCAACAAUGGGAGUCAUUCAAGUAACUGUUUUGGAACCAAUGGAAGCUAGCAAACAGCAUCAGGAUACUUUCCGGGGUUUAUCUUGUAUGCUCAUAACGAUUUACAUUUCAUUUUAUAAUUAAUAUGACAAUUAUAUGGGUUUGAAAGUUAUCAAAACAUGAUUUUAAUACUAAAAUCAAGUACGAUUAUAAAGCUAUUUUGAUUCAUAUGGAAUUCCCGUGUUUCUGAAUUCUAGACUAGAAGAACAAGUUACAAUUCAAACUCAGCCAUGCUUGAUAUUGUACGUAAUAUUUGUCAGGGUGUUGAAGAAGUAGAUAAAACUAAAGAAGGAUUUUACAUUAGGUCGGGCAUCACUGUAAUACUGAGUAAUGUAAUACAUUAGGUUGGGCAUCACUGUUAUACUGAGGAAUGCAAUACAUUAGGUUGGGCAUCACUGUUAUACUGAGGAAUGCAAUAUAUUAUAUGAAAGCACUUCAAAUUAACCGGUCGAUCUCUAGAGUUUAGAUAUAAACAUGGAGACUCAACAACAAGAAGCUGA
Long non-coding RNA from Lathyrus oleraceus (garden pea), 619 nucleotides. RefSeq lists it as uncharacterized. The record is from RefSeq and is a predicted model, not a curated record. The transcript is spliced from 4 exons. NCBI's taxonomy places the organism in Eukaryota, Viridiplantae, Streptophyta, Magnoliopsida, Fabales, Fabaceae.